AGUGAACGCUGGCGGUAGGCCUAACACAUGCAAGUCGAACGGCAGCACAGUAAGAGCUUGCUCUUACGGGUGGCGAGUGGCGGACGGGUGAGGAAUACAUCGGAAUCUACUUUUUCGUGGGGGAUAACGUAGGGAAACUUACGCUAAUACCGCAUACGACCUACGGGUGAAAGCAGGGGAUCUUCGGACCUUGCGCGAUUGAAUGAGCCGAUGUCGGAUUAGCUAGUUGGCGGGGUAAAGUCCCACCAAGGCGACGAUCCGUAGCUGGUCUGAGAGGAUGAUCAGCCACACUGGAACUGAGACACGGUCCAGACUCCUACGGGAGGCAGCAGUGGGGAAUAUUGGACAAUGGGCGCAAGCCUGAUCCAGCCAUACCGCAUGGGUGAAGAAGGCCUUCGGGUUGUAAAGCCCUUUUGUUGGGAAAGAAAAGCAGCAGGUUAAUACCCCGCUGUUCUGACGGUACCCAAAGAAUAAGCACCGGCUAACUUCGUG
Molecule: ribosomal RNA, 492 nt
Filed under: uncultured bacterium
Lineage: Bacteria
Description: partial 16S ribosomal RNA
Rfam family: Bacterial small subunit ribosomal RNA
Source: RNAcentral